Molecule: long non-coding RNA, 2007 nt
Organism: Scylla paramamosain (green mud crab)
Lineage: Eukaryota; Metazoa; Arthropoda; Malacostraca; Decapoda; Portunidae
Exons: 5
Source: RefSeq, a predicted model, not a curated record
UCAUAAUAAUUAUUUACACUCGUAGUCCCUAAGUGUGCGUGUGUUUUAGGCGCUAACAGUUUGCUUACAGUUUUGAGAACCGUGUAGUGAGGAUGGUGGUGGCGGUGGUGCUAGUGGUGGCGGUGGCGCUGGAAUAGACAAUGACUAUGUUGGUGACAGAACCCUGGCAGGAGGAGGUGACGUUUUCUCGGACAUUCAGAGUGAGGGAGACCAUGACAGAGGACACAGAAGAAAGAGAUUGUGACAGGUGAAAGCCCUGAGAUUCCCCAGCCCAGUGGCAGCAGGGGAGGCGACGCACACCUCUGCCUCAGCCGCCCAUGGAUAGCUGACAGUCCUGAGAUCCUGUGGUUCAGUGGUGGCAGAGGAGACACACACCUCUGCCUUAGAAGUGCUACAACAAAGCCAGCCAUCUUUGAUCCACAGUGACUGACAGAGAAUGUGGAUGAGAGGACAGAAGAGCCAGUGUUCCAAGUACCACCACCAUCACCACUGCCACCACCACCACCACCAUCAGGAGCACAGAUUCACUGAAGUCUCUACCAAGAUUUCUUUGAGUUUUUUGAUAAAUUUAACUUCCAAGAGAGAGAGAGAGAGAGAGAGAGAGAGAGAGAGAGAUGAUUGUUACUGGUAGUGUGUGAAGCCUGCCCACUGUGCUUGUAUAUACAGGUGUGUGUGUGUGUGUGUGUGUGUGUGUGUGUGUGUGUGUGUGUGUGUGUGUGUGUUUGUUUGUUUGUUUGUUUCGUAUCCUUCACACUGCCUGCCCUAUCUAGCUUGCCACACUCCACGAAGCCAUUGACAGCCUUCUUCUUCCUUUCAUUUGUCUCUCCACAAUCCUACAAGCAGCACCACCAUCCACAUCCUGUCCUCUCCACUCUCCCUAACUCCAAAUCACUUGCAUCACAUCUCCGCCUAGUACUUCUGACACUGCAGUAUCAUGUGCUCCACCACCUCAUCCUCCCCAUGGCUCACGUUGCUGCAAGACUCACACCUGUAACUCCUUGCAUUCACAUCCAACACUGUCCUUGCUUAGAAGAGAUCACCAGACAGGCUUCCCUCAUACCACCUUUCAUACAUUGAGGGUUCUUGUGUUCCAUCCUGUUCUUCUAUUCAUUCAGUUUAUCACUCCUCUGAUCUAUCUCACUUUUCCACCUUGUACCUCAAUGUAAUCUAUCCCUUGUUCUGUCAUGGUGAACCUGUCUCCCCUCCAAAGGUCACAGUAUGUUUGCUGUCUUCCAUUGAAUUGUGUCUCUUUCAUUUAAACUUUUCACUGUGAUGGGCAACAUUUCACUCCACUACAAGAAAUGAAUGGCUUCUUUAUAAUCAUCUUCAGGAAUGGAGAUAGGCAGAUUUUGCAGUUUCUGGCUAGUGCAAUGUUUGAAAGUGGCUGCAGAACAAGGAAACGUCCCACAGUGUGCAAGAAGGGCCACAUGAUGCCAAGUCAGCCAGGUCCUCACACCUUCACCUGUUCACCCCUUCUCUGAUUUUCAUCCUGCUCUUCAUAUAUUUCAAGAAUAGAUUAAUUAUUUUUGGUCCCUCUCUACAUUUGCCCUUAACAUUCUGCUCAUAACUUGCCCUGUCUUCUUCAGUAACCCCCACACACUCACCUCUCCCCAGCUGCUUGUGCGUGCGUGUGUGUGUGUGUUUGAGCAUGUUCUAUUCCUGUAUUUUUAUUUAUUUAUUUAUUUAUUUAUUUAUUUUUAUUUAUUUUUUUUUUUUGAAAGGCCACAGAUUAAUUAGGCCCUCAAGGGUGUUUUUUUUUCCUGUUUCUCUUUGUUAAACUAUCACUGGAAUCAUGAAAUCUCAUUAACUUCCAGUGUAACCUGUUAAACACACAGAGUGAGAGAGAGAGAGAGAGAGAGAGAGAGAGAGAGAGAGAGAGAGAGAGAGAUUUAAUCCUCUCACUGCUUCAACCAUCACCAUUCAAUUAGUCAUAAGAUUUUCAAACUGGUCGCAUUGUUAAAAAUUGUAAUUUGUAAAAAUAGAUUAAUAAAAUUAUCUGCCUCAAAA